This is a non-coding RNA of Podarcis lilfordi (Lilford's wall lizard), 72 nucleotides long. Lineage: Eukaryota; Metazoa; Chordata; Lepidosauria; Squamata; Lacertidae. The record is from the annotation of a GenBank genome assembly.
GCCUGGGUAGCUCAGUUGGUUAGAGCAUGAUGCUGAUAAUGCCAGUUGCAGGUUCAAUCCCCGCAUAGGACA